RNAcentral lists this ribosomal RNA (119 nucleotides) under Xenopus tropicalis (tropical clawed frog). The record is from RNAcentral. Lineage: Eukaryota; Metazoa; Chordata; Amphibia; Anura; Pipidae.
GCCUACGGCCAUACCACCCUGAAAGCGCCCGAUCUCGUCUGAUCUCGGAAGCUAAGCAGGGACGGGCUUGGUUAGUACCUGGAUGGGAGACUGCCUGGGAAUACCAGGUGUUGUAAGCU